RNAcentral lists this ribosomal RNA (254 nucleotides) under uncultured bacterium. Its description in RNAcentral is "partial 16S ribosomal RNA". It matches the Rfam family "Bacterial small subunit ribosomal RNA", at positions 524 to 776 of the family's 1533-position model. The record is from RNAcentral.
UACGAAGGGUGCGAGCGUUAAUCGGAAUUACUGGGCGUAAAGCGUGCGUAGGUGGCUUGUUAAGUCGAAUGUGAAAGCCCCGGGCUUAACCUGGGAACUGCAUCCGAUACUGGCGAGCUUGGAGUUUGGAAGAGGGUGGUGGAAUUCCCGGUGUAGCGGUGAAAUGCGUAGAUAUCUGGAGGAACACCGGUGGCGAAGGCGGCAUCCUGGACCGAAACUGACACUGAGGCGCGAAAGCCAGGGGAGCAAACGGG